Molecule: long non-coding RNA, 1277 nt
Filed under: Homo sapiens (human)
Lineage: Eukaryota; Metazoa; Chordata; Mammalia; Primates; Hominidae
Description: long intergenic non-protein coding RNA 837
Source: RNAcentral
GAGAUGAUCCCCAGGGCCAUCUUGGAAACAGUUUUUGAAGUUGGUAGAGUCUCGGGCCCGCUUAACUGCUGAAAGAGUAGGAAGGGGUCCGUUUCAUUAGCGCGUUCAACCAAAGAGCGCUGUUAGGUGAGCAAAAACAAACCAGUUGUGUCUGAGCCAACACCCGUUUGUCUAUGGGUUGUAGCAGUUGGUCCACCUAAUCAAGGAAGUGCCGAGAGCACAGGACAUGAAAAGACACAGCGCUAAGGUACAUGGCACGUUCACGAAGGUACAGGAGAGGCAAGAAAUGAGACGGGAAAGGUGGCCUAGGACCAGGUCGUGAAUGACAUGAUAACUAAGUUUUGACUUUUUCUCGUAGGUUUCCUGCACCACAAGGUUCCUUUCACUUAAAAAAAUUUUUUUUUAUAUUACACCAUCUUUAUUUGUACCUUACCGUCUAAGGCUAUCAAUCAAACUUCAGUAAGAACAGUUUCAGCAUCAACUAACGAACAGUAGCCAAACCAGAGAGCAGUCAAAAGUGUUUUAAAGGGAGCAGCAUCAGCUGAUGUUCUGCCAAGUCUCUGGGUGUUCAGGACCAUGGUCCCCCGGCACUUCCAGGCCCCUGUGGGCUGCAGGUGGAUCCCCAGGAGCCAAAGGGCCGCUCAGGAAAGGGUGGAACUUGGCCUCGCAAUCAGCUGGCUUCUGCCUAUUAUGGUCAUCUUCUUUCCAGAGGUCUUGCUAUCUCAGUGGACGUGGCUGUCAUCCAGCCGUCCUGGGCUGUUUUCUCAUAGAAGAGGAUCUCCCUCUGAAAACUGUGUCAUCCUUCAAUUCCUGGGCCAAGUCUGGGGACACAUCUUUUCUUAAAGCUUGCUGGUAUGACGAGCAGUUCCCAUUUUCCUGCACUUUACGAAGUCUCUGAGGUGCAAGCAGUAGACAUCCUUCUCCAUGGACUCCCCCUGAGGCUGCUUCAUGUGUUUUCAGGGCAGUUCAGGCAGAUCGGAAACCACUGGCUGCAGCUUCGGGAUGUCCCUCUCCAGCUGUGCCCUUGAACCCUGCAGAGAGACCUGCUCGCUGAGCAGACCUUGGGCUUGUGCUGUGAGUUCUGUACUCCUUUGGGUUUCUUCUCACAAUCGUAUGUCUGCUUUACCAGUCUUUCCCUCGGGACAUUCGAAGGAAGCACCUAAAUUACCAUUGUCAUCCAUGCUUUCAGAGGGACUUGCGGCCACGAUGCUGGGGGACCACCCUGUUCUGCUUCCCUGUUCCCCUCCACUGCCAAGUCCUCAUUUUCCAUGUCGUCU